This 468-nucleotide ribosomal RNA is filed under the name uncultured bacterium. RNAcentral describes it as "partial 16S ribosomal RNA". It matches the Rfam family "Bacterial small subunit ribosomal RNA", at positions 28 to 507 of the family's 1533-position model. The record is from RNAcentral.
GACGAACGCUGGCGGCGUGCUUAACACAUGCAAGUCGAACGGAAAGGCCCUGCUUUUGUUGGGUGCUCGAGUGGCGAACGGGUGAGUAACACGUGAGUAACCUGCCCUUGACUUUGGGAUAACUUCAGGAAACUGGGGCUAAUACCGGAUAGGAGCGCCUGCUGCAUGGUGGGGGUUGGAAAGUUUCGGCGGUUGGGGAUGGACUCGGGGCUUAUCAGCUUGUUGGUGGGGGAGUGGCUUACCAAGGGUUUGACGGGUAGCCGGCCUGAGAGGGUGACCGGCCACAAUGGGCCUGCGAGACGGACCAGACUCCUACGGGAGGCAGCAGUGGGGAAUAUUGCACAAUGGGCGGAAGCCUGAUGCAGCAACGCCGCGUGCGGGAUGACGGCCUUCGGGUUGUAAACCGCUUUCGCCUGUGACGAAGCGUGAGUGACGGUAAUGGGUAAAGAAGCACCGGCUAACUACGUG